This 896-nucleotide long non-coding RNA is filed under the name Amborella trichopoda. RNAcentral's name for it is "long non-coding RNA (ATRI_LNC000800)". Lineage: Eukaryota; Viridiplantae; Streptophyta; Magnoliopsida; Amborellales; Amborellaceae. The record is from RNAcentral.
AAUGAGCUCUUGCUGUUCAUUUCGCAGCAUUUGUAGCCUCCUCUCGAGGCCCCUUAUUCUCUGAUCUGUCUUGCGCAUGCGGUCUUCUACGACGGCAGGGUUCGCCGGGUGCAGGUGUAUCCAAAAGGCUCUUAAGAGAAACCGGUGGUCGCGCAGGUCGUUCUUGACGUGCUGUAUCUCCUCUCCAACUUGAGCGAGCCUUUCUGGGAUAUCCAUAGUUCAUCAACCGUGCUAAUAAAAAAAGUCUUUGAUUUUCUUUUAGAGCACGAAGGCUUAUCGAGCCUGUAUUUAUAGAGUGUAGAGUAAUCCCACCAUGCGGCACGAAUUUGAUGGCAGGCCCAAUCCUUACUGGUUUUCUGCAGUUGAGUACUAUCAUGCAUGUGUGAUGAACAAACUAACUACCUUAUGAAGCAACAUACCCCCCAAUCACGUUGCCUGUAUGAACAAACUAACUUUACACAACCAGCUUCAGCAUUUCCGCCUAAUUAGUCAGCUAACUAAGAAUCACAGGAAUUUUCCCUGGAAUCCUGAUUUCCCUUCUGAGAUUGGGUUUCCUUGCCUUACACUGGGCUGGAUCGAGAUCUUGGUCCAUGGGCCCAUUCUCACAAUUAGUCUUCUUGGACUCUAUUUCCACCCCUGCUAGCAUAAAAACAAGAGCUUUUCGGGCAGCGAGUCACAUGUUGGAAUGUAUUGAUGUGAAAUUUUCUUUUUGAGAUUGGAUUAGUGAUUAGUCACACCUACCGUAACCUCUAUUGGUCAGAUUAAGCAGCUGACUUCGCUCGAAAGAUGAGACUAGGAAAGUUGCAUGCCCAUGUGUCUCUUGUACAUCCGAAGCUUCUUCAAAGCCCCUCCCAAACCACUUCUCGGAGGUGAACACCGACGGAGGACUUCACCUU